Molecule: long non-coding RNA, 731 nt
Organism: Micropterus dolomieu (smallmouth bass)
Lineage: Eukaryota; Metazoa; Chordata; Actinopteri; Centrarchiformes; Centrarchidae
Exons: 2
Source: RefSeq, a predicted model, not a curated record
UUUACAGCCUGGUACAAAAGAUGGUUUUAGUGUAUAUUGCUAAUUUUGCCCUUCGUGACUGUGAGGAGGGUGAAUUUUUUUUAUAACUCACCCAUUUAAAUUAUAUUAAGCCUUAAAGUUCUGUAUUAUUAGGUGCGUGGGCACGUUGAUUGACAGGUGGGUGAUGUCGCUGAACACGGAGCUCAGCAGCUCUGCCUUGUUUGUGCCUUUUGGACAUUUCUUCAUGCAGAAUCCGAAAACAAAUAAUGUCAUGCUGUGCAGUUUAUUGGAGAGAAAGAGAACCUUCAAAAGCCUAUUCUCCAGUUGGUGCCAGAUAAGCUGAUGGCAGCAUCAUUCCAGAGUCCAGCUCUACAGAAGUCCCAGCUUCCAGUGUGGCCCUGCCAGAUCCUGCAGCUCACUGCUUUGCUCAGCCUUUUGUUUUUGUUUUACUUUAACACCUGGACUCUACUGAUUUCAAAUUAUGACACUGGGUUCCUAUACAUAAGUUCUGUCAUUAUAUUUACUGUUGCAACAUCUUACUUCAAGUCAUGCAAAACAACUUUUACAUUUGAAAUCUUUCAAUAUAUUAGAAAUAUUUUUUGUUAUAUAAAACUGAUCAGACUAAAUUUACAUAAAAUAAAAUCACAUUCUUCAGUAAAUGGAAAAUUGUAAGACGGUAUUAUAGGUUAACGGUUUGCAUAAAUGUCAGUAAAAGGUACAAAAUUAAAAUUGGGAGCAUUUUCACUUUUCAA